RNAcentral lists this ribosomal RNA (1058 nucleotides) under Clostridioides difficile. RNAcentral's name for it is "bacterial LSU rRNA". It matches the Rfam family "Bacterial large subunit ribosomal RNA", at positions 1865 to 2925 of the family's 2925-position model. The record is from RNAcentral. Lineage: Bacteria; Bacillati; Bacillota; Clostridia; Peptostreptococcales; Peptostreptococcaceae.
GGUGCUGGAAGGUUAAGGGGAUCUGUUAGAGCAAUCGAAGCAGUGAACUUAAGCCCCAGUAAACGGCGGCCGUAACUAUAACGGUCCUAAGGUAGCGAAAUUCCUUGUCGGGUAAGUUCCGACCCGCACGAAAGGCGUAACGAUUUGGGCACUGUCUCAACAACAGACUCGGUGAAAUUGUAAUUCCGGUGAAGAUGCCGGAUACCUGCGACAGGACGGAAAGACCCCAUGGAGCUUUACUGUAGCUUGACAUUGGGUCUUGGUACUACAUGUACAGGAUAGGUGGGAGGCUUUGAAACCAGGACGCCAGUUUUGGCGGAGCCAUCCUUGGGAUACCACCCUUGUAGUACUGGGACUCUAACCAUAGGCCAUGAAUCUGGUCUUGGGACACUGUCAGGUGGGCAGUUUGACUGGGGCGGUCGCCUCCCAAAAGGUAACGGAGGCGCUCAAAGGUUCUCUCAGUACGGUCGGAAAUCGUACGUAGAGUGUAAAGGCAAAAGAGAGCUUGAUUGCAAGACAUACAGGUCGAGCAAGGAUGAAAAUCGGACUUAGUGAUCCGGUGGUUCUGCGUGGAAGGGCCAUCGCUCAACGGAUAAAAGCUACCCUGGGGAUAACAGGCUUAUCUCCCCCAAGAGUCCACAUCGACGGGGAGGUUUGGCACCUCGAUGUCGGCUCAUCACAUCCUGGGGCUGUAGUAGGUCCCAAGGGUUGGGCUGUUCGCCCAUUAAAGUGGUACGCGAGCUGGGUUCAGAACGUCGUGAGACAGUUCGGUCCCUAUCCGUCGCAGGCGUAGGAAAUUUGAGAAGACCUGUCCUUAGUACGAGAGGACCGGGAUGGACGUACCUCUGGUGUACCAGUUGUCCUGCCAAGGGCAUGGCUGGGUAGCUAUGUACGGAAUGGAUAAGCGCUGAAAGCAUCUAAGCGCGAAGCCAACUUCAAGAUAAGAUUUCCCACCGCAAGGGUAAGACCCCAGAAAGACUAUCUGGUUGAUAGGUCGAAGGUGUAAGUGCAGCAAUGUAUUUAGCUUAUCGAUACUAAUAGGUCGAGGACUUGACCAA